AGGACAAACGCUGGCGGCGCGCUUAACACAUGCAAGUCGAGCGAGAACCGGGACUUCGGUCCCGGGGACAGCGGCGAACGGGUGAGUAACACGUGGGUAAUCAACCCUCGGCACCGGGAUAGCCCGAGGAAACUCGGAUUAAUACCGGAUAGCCCCUCCGACUCUCGAGUCGGUCGGGAAAGGUAGCUUAGGCCUCUGGCCGGGGACGAGCCCGCGGCGGAUUAGCUUGCUGGUGGGGUAAUGGCCUACCAAGGCAACGAUCCGUAGCUGGUCUGAGAGGACGAUCAGCCACACUGGGACUGAGACACGGCCCAGACUCUUACGGGAGGCAGCAGUGGGGAAUCUUGCGCAAUGGGCGAAAGCCUGACGCAGCGACGCCGCGUGAGGGAAGAAGGCCUUCGGGUUGUAAACCUCUUUCAGGAGGGACGAAGCUACUCGGGUGAAUAGCCCAGAGGGUGACGGUACCUCCAGAAGAAGCCCCGGCUAACUACGUGCCAGCAGCCGC
Molecule: ribosomal RNA, 505 nt
Filed under: uncultured bacterium
Lineage: Bacteria
Description: SSU rRNA
Rfam family: Bacterial small subunit ribosomal RNA
Source: RNAcentral